CAAUCGUAACCAAAUAGAUCUCAGCUGUAAAUAAAUUAGUACCUAUUUAAUUUCGCUGACCGAGCUGUGACGUAAACAAUUUACGUGUAAAUCGAUCAGCAAAAAUUGCAGCAUAGUAUUCCCAAACGCUCGAAAUACGAGAGGUCGGCAGAUGGGCAGCUGAAAUAUGCAACUGCAACAUUAGUGCUGUAUUGCGGUCUCUGGUGUACUUACUCUCGUUCGCUGAAAUAGCAAGCUAGGUAUUUGUUAUUGCGAGUCAAAUAAUUGACAGAAUAAGUAAGAAGUACCUACUCCAGAAGUACAACAGACCGCAAUAAACCUGAAUCUCGGCGACGAGUGAAAUUUAUAUUGUAAGUUGUAAGCCAUACAAAUCCGCCAGUUUAUAGGCCGGGACCCACUUUCAGGAUGCUCUGCCUACUCCCAAUUUGUGAGGAUACAUAAAAUGACACUUGCUCCCGGCUUCAUAGGUACAUAAAUAUAGGAAGAAAAAUUAGCACUUUGGCUUCAUGUAACUAAUAGUUUGUAGCUUUGGUAAAUCCUGUGAAAGCCUAAUUCUUGAAAAAUUACAAUCGAAACAUUUA
Long non-coding RNA from Plodia interpunctella (Indianmeal moth), 581 nucleotides. RefSeq lists it as uncharacterized. The transcript is spliced from 2 exons. The record is from RefSeq and is a predicted model, not a curated record. NCBI's taxonomy places the organism in Eukaryota, Metazoa, Arthropoda, Insecta, Lepidoptera, Pyralidae.